Passer domesticus (house sparrow) is the source of this 312-nucleotide long non-coding RNA. RefSeq lists it as uncharacterized. The record is from RefSeq and is a predicted model, not a curated record. NCBI's taxonomy places the organism in Eukaryota, Metazoa, Chordata, Aves, Passeriformes, Passeridae. The transcript has 3 exons.
UUUAGACUGGAAGGACCUUAAAGAUCAUCUAGUUGCAACUGGUCCACUUGAGACAUUCAGCAUUUGUAAACCCAACCAGUCCAUUACAGGAUAAUUACAGAAUUACGGAACGGUUCAGGCUGGAAGGGACCUUAAAGAUCACCUAGUUCCAGCAGCCUGGCAUAGGUAGGAAGACCUUUCACUAGACCAGGUUGCUCAAAGCCCCAUCGAACCUGGCCUUAAACAUUUCCAGGCAUGGAGAGUCCACCCUUUACCCUGAAAAGGGAGUACCUUUACAGGGGGGGCUGGGAUUUUCUGCCUGGACUUCCGCAC